CGGAAGUUCAAGUAAUCGUGUUCCAGCAAGUAGAACAAGCAGUACCGGAAGUAGGGAGGAAAAGACAAGGAAGAUCUCUGGAAGCCAACGUAGCGGUCGAAGGAGUGCGCUAUCCACGGAAGACAUAAACGAUCCAGCCGUCAGUAGUCUCUUGAGCUUACACGAUGGUUCGAGCAAAGCAUCCAAGACGAGGUCAUCUUUGGCGAGAAAGUCGGGUAUCUUCUCUAACGCCUCGAAAACGGAAAGAAUGGACUCCCUUACCGAAUUGCUGAACCAGUACAGUGUUAGCGGGUUUCCACGUCAACCGGGACUUCUGACCUUUGAC
Long non-coding RNA from Limulus polyphemus (Atlantic horseshoe crab), 325 nucleotides. RefSeq lists it as uncharacterized. The transcript has 3 exons. The record is from RefSeq and is a predicted model, not a curated record. NCBI's taxonomy places the organism in Eukaryota, Metazoa, Arthropoda, Merostomata, Xiphosura, Limulidae.